UUCCUUUUGCUGUUAUAUAAAAAUUGCUUUCUCUCAUGAGUCAAUAUCCAUUCUAUGAAAUUCUAGCGUUAGAGAGAGGUGAAAGUUUACACUUUGUAUACCAUGUUUGUUUGAUUUAAUAGCAGUGAUGACCCUUGAAAGAUUGCUCUAUAAAACAAUGUCCGGUCAUCUUUACAACUCAUUUUCACAAUCCUUCGCCGGCCCGCUGAAGAACUCUUUGAAGCUCAUCUGCCAUCCCUUGUAAGAGAACUGGUUUUCGGAUCAUUCCAUUCAUUCCCAUCUGCAGGCAUCUCUCCCAAACAUUAUCCUCAGCACUGGAAGUCACAGCUAUAAUCAAUGGCCAACUCCGACUCCGACUUCGGAUCUUCCGGAUUCGCGUUGCCACUUCGAACCCAUCCAUUUCUGGCAUUUGAAUAUCUAAGACAACUAGUCUGAAAGAGUUUCUGGCAUUUGAAUAUCUAAGACAACUAGUUUUGAAUGAUUAUUUAUCCUUAAAAGAUUUACACUUGAAAUACUUUUAUAAUGACGUGUUAAUUUAAUUGAUGAACUUAGUUCUUUUAUUCUUAUAAUUAAUAUCUUCAUAAUAAUUAACACAAUAAUAAAGUCAGUUGAGUUGCAUAAUAAUUCUAAAUCUUUCAUAUGAUAUUUAUAUUAAAAUACACAUCAAUUUAUCAAAACUCAUUUCAAUUAUAUAUAUAUAUAUAUAAUAAGUAUGUUGAUUAAAUUAUACUUAAUCAUGUCUAGACAUUUAAAUUAUUGCUACACACACACAUAAAAGUUGUAUAAACUCAUUAAGUCAAAUAUGUGAAACAAGUUUUAAUAUUAUACUCUAGUUUCAAAGAAGAGAAAAUACUAAAAAAGAGAAAGUAUAACUUAUGGGAUUUAAAUCCAUACCCUCUUCCAACUCCAAGCAUCUCGUUAACAAUUAAUUACAAAUAAAUUUGAUAUAAAAUGACAAUUAAUAUAUGUACAUUGUAAAUUAAGAGACCUCAAUUAAAUAAUUAAUCCAUAAUUAUAAUGAACUAAGAAACCUUAGUUAAAUAAUUUUAAUAAUCUACUCUGUCAAUACAAGAGAUGCAAAAAAUAGUGAUUUUGCAUGAACAUUAAUUUAUUUAUUUAUAAUAAAAAAAUAUUUAAUUGAUUAAAUUAAAAAAUUCAAACAUUUAUUUUGAACAUAUUUGAACACAUUCAUAUCAAAACCCCUAAAUUAUCAUAAACUCUAAUAUCUUUAAUAACUAAUUAUAAAAAAAUAAUAAAAAAAUAAAAUUAAAUAAUGAACUAAAUAAAAAAGAUAAAAAAAAAAAAUCUUACCUAAAACAUAAAGUAAAAGAAGUUACUGGACUUGAAAAAAAAUUUAUGUAAAAAUAAGAGGAGGCAACAACAACUUAAAAGGAAAAAAAAGAAAAAAAACUCUCUGUUAAUCAGUAAAAAAAAAAAAAGGAAAAACUUUAAGUAAAUGAGCCGGAAAUAUAUAUAUUAUAUAUUAUAUUAAAAUAUAAUUAAACAAUAACUCCACUUUUCAUGUAUCAAACCCUCCCCAAAUUAUUAUAUUGAUAUCCUAAUAUAAUAAACAUUUAAAAAAAAAUUAAGGGGGCAAUUGCCCCCUUUUGCACCCAUGUGGCUCCGCCACUGACUGUCCAAGACAGAUCGAGGACCUUGAGCCCAUGCAAUUGCUUGAAAAAUGAAUCCGCAACAAAUCUCAACCAUUUAUUAUCACGUAGAAAUAGAGUUGAUAGAUAGGGACACCGUGGUGAAUAGCUGGAAGGAAUUUCUUUGAUCUUGUUUUGCAUUAGUGAGACUCUUGUGAGAUUCUCCGUCCACUCCUCUACAUCUGGCAACUCUUUCAAUUGCGCACCUGCUUUAACCAUGACUUGAGAGUUGUCUUGUAGAAUUUGGAUGGCCAUGUCCCUAAUCAAGUCAUGCAUCUUGACACGUCUACUACCAUCACCAUCCAUUUUAGCAUUUUCCAAUAGGCAAACAUUUUCAAGUCUAUUAAGCAUCGUGUGGCCCUCAUCAAAUGCAUCUCCCCUGCUCCUCAUUCCUUUAAUUAUUCCCUCAUCGAUCAAAUAAUUAACCUAUCAACUCCUUCCUUUCAAUCUCAUGAUCUACAGGAAAUAAUGCACAGUACAAGAGACAUUGCUUUAGUGCUGAUUCACCUAACCGAUCAUAACUAAACCUCAAUAACUUGAAUACCUUCUCAUCCAUGUCCCUAAAUUCUGAUUCUCUCAAUUUCUUCAAUGUAUUCCUCCAAUCAUGUAGAUCAUCCACUCCCCUCAAGCUUCCUGCCAUUGUAAUAAUUCCCAACGGCAAACCAUCACAUUCUCUAGCAAUAGCUUUUGCAAUUCGUUCCACUUCAGGUAAAAGUGUGAUGUCAUGUCCAAGUUUCUUCAUGAAUAAAGUCCAAGCUUCUCCCUCAAAAGUGACUUCACUUUGAUUUUGGGGUGGCAAGCCAUCUGAUGACAAACUAUUUUUAAUCGAGUUAUCAUAAUCAGCUUGCAUCCUUUCAACGGGACAAGAAUUCCCACUUCCUCAAGCUCAAAAUUGUUCCACAAAUCAUCUAAAAUGAGAAUCCAUUUUUGUUUCUUCUUUAGUUCUUCACACAAUUUAGCAGCUCUAUGCAGAUCAUCAUCUUUGCUUGAAAGGAUUAGAUCAAGACGUGUAGCAAUAAGAUUCUGCAAUCUAUUAAUGCUGAAAUCUUGAGAUACAAUCACCCACCAAACAUGAUCACAAAUAUCUCGUCUUUGUAGAAGCUCAUUAUGGACAUGUUUUAGUAUUGUUGUUUUACCAACUCUUGAGAUACAAUCACCCACCAAACAAACAAAUAAUAAAAUAUUUUUGAACACUUAUCGGAACAAGAGGGAACUUCACUGCAGUAGAAAACUUCAACGCUUGAUUUGCUAUCCAAUCUGUACACCAGCUGGAUAGCAAUUUCUUUUCAUAACAUUUACCAGUGUAAAAACUUUUUACUUAUUUUUAGUUUUAAUAUCAAAUUCAGUCUUGAAUAUAAUUCUAAUAUCAAAUUUUACCUUAAAAAUUUCACUUAUUUUUAAUCAAUUAAAUUGAACAAAAUCACCUCUACAUUGAAUUGUUUUUUCUUCUUAGACCACAAGAGCUCCAUAACAAGCUUAUUGAAAUAAAUUAUCAAAUGAAAUUAAAAACAAAAAUGCUUUAUAAAAAAAAACAGUAAGACAUCUACCUUGUUUUUCACAAAAUUUCUAAGAAUAAAAAUAUUUUAUUAGAUGUCUUAGCUGAAUUCUAAACCAGCCUAUAAUAAAAUAAACAAAAACAAAUUAAAAAAAAAAAAAAACAGGCAAAACACCUUAGAUCACGUACUAUUGUAGUUUACAAUGAAAUAGGUGUGGAUAUAUAUAGUGAUUCUCCCAAGUCUCUUAGCUUUUCUCUUAAUGAAAAUUAAUAACCUUAUAAUAUCUUCCUAUUCGUAAGCUAUCUAUAAUUUGAUGUCAUGAGUGUUUUUCUUGAAGUUAUUCUAUUUAAUGUCAUGAGUGUUCUAUUGAGGAAAAAAAAACUGUAUUUAAUGUCAUGAGAUUUAGUAAUCAAAAUAUUUUUUUAUUUUUAAUAUUAAUAUAUUAAAAAAUAUUAAUUUAAUAUUUUUUUUCAAAAUAAACAUAUUUUUAAAUGCACUCAAACAUAAUUCUGAGUACAAAAACAAAUUAUGUUUUGAUUACGCGCAUAACAAUCAUAGCAGUAAGUAGCAUGAUCCUUUCCAAUUGAGUAAAUUAUAGGACUUUUUUGGCAGCCUUAUAUUAAGUAAAUUAAGAAUUAUUCUUUCCAAUUGAGUAAAUUAAGUACCAGGUAUUCAAUCUUCACAAACUUUAAUAUGUAUUAAGUCAUAUUUGUUUAAUUAGAUUUAUCAAGUUUGCUUAACUAAGAUGGAAUAUUUAUGAAUAUUUUAAUCUAUAGUGUUUUCUCUCCUGGUACAUAGUAAAAGCCUGGGUAGUUUUUUUUUUUUUAAUUUUAAUAAUAAUUCUGUUCUUUCUAACCCAAGAACGAACAAAAAAAGAAGAAGAGAAAUCACAGAUCAGAGAAGAAUAUAUGGCUUAGAAAAAUAAUAAAGUUGCAGUAUACAUAAAUCUAGUUCGCCCUGGUUAGAUGCGGAUAGAAAAUAAGUAAGUAUGUGGUUAUGGUUGUUUUUUAAAAUAUUUUUUAUAUAAAAAUAUAUUAAAAUGAUGUUUGAUUUAAAAAUAAUUUUGAUUUUUUUGAUACCAUAAAAAAAAUAUAUGUUGUUAAUUUUUAAAAGUGUGGUUUGUAUUUUUAAAAAAUUAUUUUUUAAUAAAAAUUCACUAUAUCUCCUAGCCAAAUACAUAUAUUAUAUUAUAAGAUAUAGAAAGUUAACAUGUGGACCCGCCUUAAUGUUGACACUUCGAAGAAGCUGCCAAGAAAAUGUAAACACAUGGAAGUUUCUAAAAAGAAUAGCAUAUUUCUGCAUGCUGUGAAUUUUUUAAAAAACAUUUUUAUUUAAAAAUAUAUUAAAAUAAUUUGUUUAAAUUAUAUAUUUUUUUAUCAACACAUCAAAAUAAUUUAAAAAUAUUAAAAAAUUAAAAUAUUUAAAAAAUAGGUUGUAACUGUAAAGAUAAACCAGUUUUGACAAUGCUAGAUUAAGUGUGCAAAUGAGAGUGAGGCUCCAAAUCUAAUUACGUAGCAAUUACUAAUUGGGAUAAAAAUAAAUUAAAAGACAAAUUACCAAUAUUCGCUUGCAGGUGUGUUUGGUAGAUCUUAUGCUUCUGCCUUUGAGUGUGUAUAUUAGCUUUACCAUGAAAUUUUUGUGAGACAAAUUAUAGUGAAUGUUUUUCUAUUUUACCAAUAUACCCAUGGUGUUUAUAUCAGAGUGAUGCUACAUGCUGAGGUGGAUAUUAGCAACAGAGGAAAGCAUACAAAAGUUACCAAAAAAAAAAAUUGAUAGCAAAGGCGAAAGCAUAUCAAGCUAACAAAAUCAACCCCACCAAUUCUCAAAUAUUCAGAUUUUAAAAAAAGCACAAUAUUUUAUUUGGUUUCAUUACAAAUUCAAUAUUUUUUUUAAGGUCAAUAUUUAGAAAUAAAUAAAUAAAUAAAUAAAAGCUGCCCAUCAAUAUUUAAUUUAAAUAACCUCAAAGACUACUAAUUUAACUUUCGUUAUUAAAAGGGCGCGCGUAUGUUGUUGGUCCCUGCCUAGUUGAUGGGGCAAAUUAAGACUAGGUCUUCAAUCUUCAUAAACUUACAUAUGUAUUAAGUUAGAUUUGUGUAAUUAGAUUUAUCUAGUUUGCUUAACAAACUUUCUAUGUUGUAUUAAUUUAAUUAUCACAAUUUCUAUGACAAUAACUAAAUUUAAUGUACUGCUCAUGUUCAUGUGUUGGGCUUUAUGCUUUCCGUUCUUCUUUGGAUUUUUCUUUGAAGUAUGGAAUUGGCAAUCCCAUUUCAAACCGACCCAAAUCCACCCAUUGUACAAGUAAUUUCAAUAUUAAUUAAUAAGAAUAUCCUUGUUUAUUUAAAGGACUAUUUUCAUCAUUCAUAUCCAAAAUAAUGAUGUUUUGCACAUAAGUUUUAACAAAAAUAAUUGAAAGAAUGAUAUAUUAUUGAAUAAGAGGAAAUUUAAGGUUACAAUCUAUUAGUAUUCUUACAACCAUAUCUUGUCAAACGUUACAAAGGGACGAAGGACAUCCUUUGCAUUAGGAUGCUCCCACUCCACUACUGUCUCCCACCAUUCUUCUGGAUGUACCUUGAUUUUUUUAAGAGAAGGGGGAGGAGAUGGCUGGCCAUUUUCAAGCAACGGAAGACAAAUUGCCAUCCUCUUCAGCUUCUCACAAUACUUUACGGUAAUAUCUUCGAGAGAAUUGCAAAUCAGUUUUGCACUACAAAUGCUUUUUAGUUCCGGUAAUGAAUGCAAUGUCAGAGUUCUUAACUUUGGGAGUGUUAAUUCCGUGAUGGAAUUGGAGGUGCUGCUUUCUUCAUCUGUUGUUCCUAUUAUCUCCUCCAUUUUCUUACAUGAUGUCACUUCAAUCCUUUCCAGGUUUACGAGGUUUGGCAGCAACACAAGUGGAACAACUUCUUCAUACUUCACAUCCAAACAAUAAAACUUUUAAGACCAGAAAACAUACCACUAUAUGAUGGCAAUGGUGGUGGAGCAGAGCAGAACCAAGAAGAUGAAACCAAGCUCUCCAUGCUAUCGCAAAUCCCAAUGCUGAUUUCCUCCAGUUCAGUUGCAUUCUCUAAUGACAAAACAUCACAUAAACUUCUUGCAUCGAUGCAUUCACAAACCAGUCCUUGAAUGCCAUUUAAGAACUUGACCUGAAAAUCUCUAUCUCCGUUGAUACUCAAAUUACCCAACCCAACUGUUUUACUUGGACACUUUUUAGUGACAUAAAAGAAUUUCAGAUUUCCUACUGAAAUUCUGUAUGUGUUUAAUGAUUGGAUCCCAUCCUGAGAUAUGAGAUACUCCACGAAGUCAGAGAAACCUUCGAAAUGGCAUUCCAAAGUUUCCAAAUUCCUCAAGGAUCCUACUUCCUUUCCUUUAACUGUUAUCGGAGCAUAACUGGUCCCCACAAGCUCUUCUAGUACAAAGACUUGCAGGUGAGAGAGUUUUGGUAAUAUCCCACUAGGAAACUCCUUUCCACCACAUCCAUUCAUUCUAAGAUACCUCAGGUUGGUUAGGCAUUCCAUUCCUUGCGGCAUCUUUUCAAGUGCAGUACGAGAGAGAUCCAACCUCUUCAGUUCCCUGAGCUUCUUUAGUGAUGGAGCAUGACUUAAGUUUUCACAAUAAUUGAGCAAUAAUGCUGUAAGACUCACCAAAUCAGAGACAGAGUCUGGCAAAUUUUUAAUACCUGUGCAAGACAGAUCGAGGACCUUGAGCCUAUGCAAUAGCUUGAAAAAUGAAUCCGCAAUAAAUCCCAAAAGAUGAUUUUCACAUAGCAAUAGAGUUGAUAGAUAAGGACACCUGGGUGAAUAGCUGGAAGGAAUUUCUUUAAUUUGGUUUUGCAUUAGUGAGACUCUUGUGAGAUUCUCUGUCCACUCCUCUGCAUCUGGCAAUUCUUUUAAUUGCGCACCUGCUUUAACCAUGACUUGAGAGUUGUCUUGCAGUAUUUGGAUGGCCAUGUCCCUAAUCAAGUCAUGCAUCUUGACACAUCUACUACCAACAUACUUCAUUUUAACACUUUCCAAUAGGCAGACAUUUUCAAGUCUAUUAAGCAUCGUGUGACCCUCGUCAAAUGUUGAUUGCCUACUUCUCAUUCCUUUAAUUAUUCCCUCAUCGAUCAAAUAACCUAUCAACUCCUCCCUUUCAAUCCAAUGAUCUUCAGGAAAUAAUGCACAGUAUAAGAGACAUUGUUGUAGUGUUACAUCACGUAACCGAUUAUAACUAACCCUCAAUACUUGGAAUACCUUCUCAACCAUGUCCCUAAAUUCUGAUUCGCUCAAUUUCUUCAAUGUAUUUCUCCACUCAUGUAGGUCAUCCACUCCCCUCAAGCUUCCUGCCACUGUAAUAAUUCCCAAUGGCAAACCAGCACAUUCCUUUGCAACAGCUUUCGCAAUUCGUUCCACUUCUGGUGAAAGCUAUGCACGUCCAAGUUUCUCCAUGAACAAAGUCCAAGCUUCUCCCUCAAAAGUGGCUUCCUUGAUUUUGCGGUGGCAAGCCAUCUGAUGACAAACCGUUUCUGAUCGAGUUGUCAUAAUCAGCUUGCAUCCUUUCAACGGGACAGGAAUUCCCACUUUGUGUAGCUCAAAAUUGUUCCACAAAUCAUCUAAAAUGAGAAUCCAUUUUUGUUUCUUCCUUAGUUCUUCUGACAAUUUGGCAGCUCUAUGCAAUCAUCAUCUUCGCUUGAAAGGUCUAGAUCAAGAGUUUAGCAAUAAGAUUCUGCAAUCUAUUAAUGCUGAAAUCUUGAGAUACAGUCACCCACCAAACAUGAUCACAAAUAUCUGUCUUUGUAGAAGCUCAUUAUGGAUAUGUUGCAGUAUUGUUGUUUUACCAACUCCCCCCAUCCCAUAAAUGCCAAUGGUUGGAACUUCAUCAUCCAUUAACAAAGACCAUAUCACCUUCUUAUUCUCUUCAAAUGCUCGACCCACUGGCUUUAUAGAGCUAGUAGGUAAUGGAACUCCUCUAGUCUCACUUGUGUUGUAUUUAAGGCUUAUAGAAGAUCUAGCUCCAGCGUCAGGCCGCACUGAUCUUCCACUAUUCUCCACUGGUUCUGUCCUCACUCUAACCAUGUUCUGCACAUCAUACAUAACGACAUCAUUGUUUACUGAUGGAGCAAAUAGUUGGGCAUAAUAUCUUCCAUGAUCAAGACACAAUGGAUCUGUUGGUUGGGAUGAAUCUCCUCGAGGCUCAUGAGCUUGAUUAAUUGAUGGCCUCUCACAAGAGCUACCUCUCUCCAGAUGCUGCACUUGUUCUGUUCUCGCUACAGUUUCAAAUCCAUCAUGCAGACGCUCCACAUCCUCAUCUUCCUGCAUUAAAUAGGUAGAGAUUUCAUUCAGCUGCUGCUCCUUCGAAAGGGCAGAGUGUAUCUGAACCCAAGUGCCAUCAACAAAUUGAUCCACUACAUCUGUUCCUUGUGUUGCUUCUCCUCUAUUCUCAUGAGCAUCAACUCUGAGUCUCCAAGGAGAGUCACUUCUGUCAACAUGCUGAAAAGAUCCUUCACCAGUGUAUUCCAUGUCAUUUGCCGCUUCUAAACGCGAAUGAUUUCUCUCAGGCCCAACACCUUGUUCCAUGCCUUGAACUCCCGCUUGCAUCCUUCCAGCAUCAUUAACAUUGCUUAAAUUUGCUAUGCCUUUAUGCCUUUUGUUGCCACCAUGCAUAGCUAGAAAGGCUGCUUCUUGAACUUCUUGAGGCACCUGACCACAAAUGCCAACACCAUGCCCUCUAUCUCCCGAUAAAUGCCAUUUGAUCCUCGAAAUGGAAGUACCAUUGGCAAAUAAAUGCCCACAAAACUUACACUUCAUGCUUCCGUCAUUCAUAUCUUCAACUUCAUUCCAAAACGGAUCAUCUGAUCUACCCAUUUUGUCCUAUAGAUAAAAAGGGUCAAAAUAUUGAAUAAAAAUUAAUGGAAGUACAUUAAUUGGAAAAGGAAGGUUGAAACUAAAAUAAUAAGUUACAAACAGCAAAGAAAGUAAGAAGAAAAAACAAUGAAUUCAAGGUUAACUUGGGGUCAAUUUAUUAUGAACUCCUUAAGGCAUGGAUUGUUACAACUGAGAAAGAUCAAAUUAUUUAUUUUUGGAAACUGUUGAUGAUCCUAACUCCAAAGUUUCUCAUUAGAAUUUCUACAACUUGUGUUUUCCUUGAAAGAUUCAAACCAGAGUUACAUGUGAAAAACAAAAUGAAGAAGAUGGAUUAUAAAUAAUUUACCUGGAUUCAAGUUGUGCUUCAAGUGCUGGUUUGCUUAAGCAGUAUUCAGCAAAAAAGACAAGAACAGAGAAGAAUAUACGGUUUAAAAAUAAGAAGGAAGUUGCAAGAUGUUGAGCUCCAGAUGAUUCGAUUCAAUCACAAAAGGAAGCACUGAUCAUCAGAAAGGCUUAAGAAAUUUGAUGAGGGAAAUCGGGAAAUCAAUGGUAUAAUGAGAUGAGAUUUGGAGGAGAAUGUUAUAGCAGCGAAGAUUAUUGUAUUGUUUGAGAAGAAGGAAGUUGCUAGGAAGGAAGCCACAAACUUUACCUACCAAAGAUUAUAUUAUAAGAUAUGGCAAGUUGCUGGACACCUCAAAUUUGCAUUGCUUUUGUCUAGCGAUGCAUAUAAUUAAAAACUUCAACAAAAGAAUCAGAAGCUAAUUGCUGGCCGAGUUAACGUGUAGACCCACCUUAUUGUUGAAACUUUGAAAAAGCUGACCUGAAAAUGUAAGAGCCUGAAGCUUAGCUUCAAGAACUGUAAGUACUAUGCUAUGAAUGAUGCCUCUCACUCCUCCCCCAUCAAUUUUAUCUAAAUGCUGUUUAUUGCACGCUGCUAGUUGGGAUAUACAGAACUCAGUUCAACCCAGCAAGUCGCUGCAUCAGAGUUAAAACUCCAUAGCAGUCAGCACAAUCUAUGAAGAUAAAAUUGAAAACAAAACAAUCAAUGACUAAAAUUAAAAAAAUGCAUCUAAGGCUUAGAAAAAACUGAGAUAAAACACUAUUUUUCUCUCUUGAUACAUGGUAGAAGCCUGAGCAUAUUUAUUUAUUUAUAAUUUUAAUUUUAAUAAUAGUUGUGUUCUUUCUACCCCAAGAAAUCAAAAACGCUAAUUUCAUUAAACAAGAUUCUAAAAGCCCAUAUUUAGAUAAAUUAGAAGAAAGGACUCCAACCCUAGCGCAAAAGACCUAUAAACUAGCCUAACAAAUCAUACCCAGAGAAGCAAUAUGUUUAUUGACAUAAAAAUUCUAAAUUUAAUAAGUCUAUUUAAUAAAAAAAAAAAUUGAGCUAACUUGUUUCUGGCUUUUGCUUCUCUGGGUAUGAUUUGUUAGGCUAGUUUAUACUUUAUAGGUCUUUUGCGCUAGGGUUGGAGUCCUUUCUUUAUAUAUAUAUAUAUAAAACGUGGUUAAAAUAACGAAACACAUUGACUAGCUUUUGUUAGCUUUAUUUGUUUUUUUGUUUUAAAAAUAUAUUUAAAAAAUUAAAAUUAAAAUUUUUUUAUUUUAAAUUAAUAUUUUUUAUUUUUUAAAUCAUUUUGAUGUACUGAUAUCAAAAAUAAUUUUUUAAAAAUUAAAAAAUAUUAUUUUAAUAUUUUUUCAAAUAAAAAAUACUUUAAAAAACAAUCAUAACCACACUUUCGAGCAUAACAAGGUUUCAAACCCAUGGUGCCUUUUCCUUAUUAUAAAUAUAGAAAAAAAAUUAAGUCAAGGAGGUCCAAUCUAAAAUGCUCCAAACAUUAUCCAUGUCUCAAGCUUAUGUAUGAUCCAAGAAUUCAUAUUUAUUACAAAAUUAUAAUUUUAUAUGAGUUUUUAUCGUUAUGAUUCAAGAAGUUUAUAUUGUAAAUUCAAGAAUUUUAAGUUUAUAGUCAAUUUUAUAAUUCAUAAAAUAUUUGAUCCCUGAAUUAGUUUUCUAAUUGUGUUCUUAAUCCCUUUAUUAAUUAGUUUUCUAAUUGUUUUGCAUAAAUUCUUAAGAAUAAAAAUAUUUUAACAAUAGUUUUUGUGCUAAAAAUGCUACUCUAUUCGACUUUUAAUUCAAAUUGUAUUUAUAUAGUUAAAUGUUUUUCUCUUUAAUAAAUCCAUUAUUGGAUUUGAAAUUUAUAACUUAUUUUAUAAUUCAAAAUGGAGAUUUGGUUUGUUUUUUAUUUUUGUAAAACUAAUUGAAAAAAUAAAAAAUUACAUCAAAUCAUGUUGGCUUAACUCGAAUCGGCAAGAUCAAAGACACGAGUGAAUAAUAUUUUAAUAUUCAUAGUUGAAGACCGGUGGAGCAAAAUCUGACUCUGAUCUAGAGCGUUGCACUGCAUUCCUUUAAAAUUUGAUAUUGUUUUUUCUUAAUUAAUUUUUUUUAUAUUUUUAAAUUGUUUUGAUAUGGUAAUGUCAAAAAUAAUUUUUAAAAAAUAAAAAAAUAUAUAUAUUUUUAAACAAAAAAUAUUUUAAACCAUAACUAUUAUUAUAUUACCAAACACACCCUCCCCGUUACUUUGUAUAGACCUCUUAAUUUCCAAGAGAACCUUAGCCAUUCAUUUAUGCAAGUGCACGCUUUGCCAAACAAUCCUUUAGGAUAAUGGGUUGCCCUCCGACGGCUUGCCAUAACAGGCCAGGACUAAUUUCGACUCUUCGUUGGCGAUAGCAGUGAUGGGAAUGAUGACACUUCUCUCCAUCCCAUAAAAAAGUAGUCCUUUUUGUUUGAAGAAUUUUCCCAAUUAGUCCUUUUAUUUUAGAUAUGGUCUUCAACAUGCUUUUAUAAGUUUAAUUACUCUUAAAUUGCCCUUAAGACAUUUUCUAAUCUAUCCUUUUAAUAAGUAUCUUUGUUUAAGCUAAUAAAGAUAUAAUUAUUAAUUACUUUAAAAAACUCAAUCCUACCUAAUUUAUUAAAAAAAAGAAAAUUAAGAUUUAUUUUUAUGUUAAUUUUUUCUCAGGGUUAUCUGUAAAGAAGAAACUGUAUAUCUAACCAUUAAAAAUGUUAUUUAAUAAUUAAUUAAAUUUCAAAUCUUUUGUUUUAUUAAUUUUGACUUAAACUAAUAAAAUCAACCCAUGACACUAUCGAUUUUAUUAUUAAUUAAUUUUUCCUAAAUAAUAUUAUUUUAAUUUUAAAAAAAUUCAAAAUUCUUGAAAGGAAACUAUAUUAAAUUGAUUUAUAUCAACUUGAGUUAAUUCACCAAACUCAUAAAUCAGUAAUGUAACAAACUAUUUUUAUAAAUUUAAUCACAUGUAAAUAAAGUUUAAUAAAUCUAGAGACACUAUUGAGUAAUUUGGGACCAAAGUCUAGGACUUCGAUAAUACUUAAAUAAUAGUAAUGUUCCUACAAUAACAAUGACGUUACAUAACUUAAAGAAUUGUUUUUUUUUUUUGGAUGUACAAAGCACAAAUAAUAAUAAUUCUGGAUGCAAAACACAGGCUGCAACGCAGAUGGAGCAAGAAAUUCCACCCCAAGAAAAAUCCAAACCAAUGAGAGGCGAAGAGUUCUUGGUGUUUCUGCCAUUAUCAUUUUUAUUUUAUUUUUUACUCUCUUCAUGUGAGUAUAUAAACUAUCUUAACAUUUACAAUUCAAGCCAAAAUUGAUAAUGGCAGAAACACCAAGAACUCUUCGCCUCUCAUUGAAGACCAGGUUCCUCCUCGCCGCCCACUCCUUUGGGAUUCGCGCCGCCAGCCGUUCCGACCACACCGUAAACCGCAGCGUAUUGAACAUCUUCGACCCCAAGGCCGCUGCUUCCGCCAAACCAAUCAAUGGGGUCUCCUCUUUCGACGACACUAUUGACCCUACCCGCAACCUGUGGUUCCGCCUCUACGCCCCCACAUCCACCACCACUACCGAUGCUCUGCCUGUGAUCAUAUUCUUUCAUGGUGGGGGCUUCGCAUUCAUGGCGGCUAACUCAAAAUCUUUUGACGUACUCUGCCGGCGACUUGCCCGUGAAAUUAAUGCAGUUGUUAUCUCUAUAAACUAUCGGCUUGCUCCUGAGUACAAGUACCCAUGCCAGUACGAAGAUGGCUUUGAUGCAUUGAAUUACAUCGAUGAAAUGACCUUUGAGAAUUUCCCAGCAAAUUUGGAUCUUGGAAGGUGUUUUAUUGCCGGUGAUAGUGCAGGAGGUAACGUGGCUCAUCAUGUCGUGCUCAAAGCUUGUGAACACACAUUUUCUAACAUAAAGAUCAAGGGACUCAUAGCAAUGCAGCCAUUUUUCGGAGGGGAAGAAAGAACAGAAUCAGAAAUCAAGCUUGUUGGGGUUCCUUUAAUAUCAGUGGAAGGUACAGACUGGAUGUGGAAGGCGUUUCUGCCUGAGGGAUCGGACCGAAACCACUCGGUGGUUAAUGUUUUCGGACCAAAUGCGGUGGAUAUUUCAGGCGUGAAGUUCCCUGCGACGUUACUCUUUGUCGGAGGGUUCGAUCCCUUGCAAGAUUGGCAGAAGAGGUACCAUGAGGGGCUGAAGAAAUCUGGGAAAGAAGUACAUUUGGUAGAGUAUCCAAAUGCUUUUCAUGGGUUUUAUUGCCUGCCUGAAUCGCCUGAAUGUUCUUUGUUGAUCGGUGAGGUGAAGAGUUUUGUGCAAAAGCAGUCAUCUCUUACAUAGGGUGAGGAGACGACGAUCUCUAUUUUAGUAUUAUAUCUUAUUUUAUUCACAUUCAAUAAUUAAAUCGUAUUUAAAUUGCAAUGAUUUUGUUUACUAUUGAAGAUAGAUUAUUAUGUGUGUAUUGAAUUGUUCAAUUAUUUGAUGUAUUAGAUUUGACUUUUGAGGGAACGCUAAUUUGUUUUAAAUGCUGGAAGUACGUCUGGUUGGAAAAAUAUUAAAUUAAUAUUGUGUUUAGGUAUUUUUUAAUAUAUUAAUAUAAAAAUAUAUUUUUAAUUAAAUAGCAACAUUAAAAAAAUAUUUUGCUUUCCAUUACCAAUCACACUAAAAUAAUGUUGUGUCCUUUUAGCCAUUUGGUGAGGAAUGGUGAUGGUCGUUUUUUGUUUUUUUUGUUUAUACUAAUUCAAAAGUUGUGGGGUUGCCAUGUUAAAUUUCUAUUUUUAAUUGAAUAAUAUUCUUUUAAAGAAAAAACUUGCACAACAUUUUUUUUAAAUAAAAAAAAUCUUUGAAGUUGAUACUACUUAGAUUUCACUUAGAUCAAUCGAGCCACCAAUUGAUCCGUUAAGUUUCUUGAAUAUUAAUUAAUUUAUUAAGUUAUUUAAAUUCAAACUCGGUUUAAAUCAGAUUUCAAAUCAGUAACGUCACCGAGUUACCCAGCUAGCUGGUUUUUGGAGGCUGUGUUUUUGUACAUGUGGAGGGGAAGGGAAAUAAUGUACAAUGAAAUGUGCAUGACAACUGGGUUGAUGGUUGAUGGUUGAUAGUUUGACACAGUUCAUUUUUCAUUGUAUGUGGGAGAGAAGCAAUGAAGAAGAGAAGAGGAAAAGAUGCCAAGAAAUAAAACGAAGACUUAUUGGAUGUUUGGUCUUAUUAGCAUAGCUAGUUGGAAGUGUACUGUUUCAUCUUUCAUGUGGCUUAUCACGUAUCAAAACUUCGGAUUUGUUUGGAAUUAUAGUAGUGAUUGUGGUUUAAAGUGUUUUUUUUUAUCUAAAAAUAUAUUAAAAUAAUAUAUUUUUUUAUUUUUUUUAAAUUAUUUUUGAGCUUAACACAUCUAAAUGAUUUAAAACAUAAAAAAAAAUUUAACAAAAACAAAAUUGAAAUUUGAGGGAAUGUGAUUUCAACCGCGUUCUCAAACGCUUUCUUCAUGUUUUUUCAAUCACAAAGUUACUAUAAAAAUACAUGUGUAUUUGGUAUUAUAAUAUAAGAUUUUUUUCGCUUAAAAAUAUAUAAAAAUAAUAUUUUUUUUAAAUAUCAACUUAUCAAAAUCAUUGAAAAAUAUUAAAAAAUCAUCAAUCUAAUAUUAUUUUGAAUCAAACCCAUUUUUAAAACAUACUUAAAUGCAUUUUCAAACCCAAAAAUAAAUAAUAUCUUUAUAAUUAUAGUUUAGAAAACAAUCUCCUACAUCCAAGCAUAAAAAGGUUUCGAAGUUAAAAAUAAUCUUAUAGAAGCAUGUGUAUCGUCUUAACUAUAGAUGUAGUAAGAUGAUUUGAUUUAGUAAAUAUGUAAUUUAAAAUCAGAUUCGGGUUAAGUUUUAAUUUACACUUAGUUUUGGUUAAGUUUUAAUUUAUAUUAAUUUUGAUAUUAAUAUGGUUAAUCCCAAAUAAUCUUCCUACAAUCCAAUUUACUCUUGUUAAAACUUAACCACAUCAGAACCAGAAGAGUAGAGGAAAAACAGAAACAUAAAGCCUGCCAAUCAUCGUCUUCGCCACAGCACCUGAGCCAGCAAAACAGAGGAAGAAGGGCAGGGGAAACAGGCCAAGAACCACAAAAAAUGGAGGACGAACAGUCACAAUAAAAAGAAGAACCACCCGAGAGAACCGGCUUCGUCUUCAUCUUCAAGAGCAGCAGAUCACAUGUAAUCUUCCCUUUGCAUUUUAAUUCACUGCUACAGUGGUAGUGAAUUAUAAUUCACUUGCUACUGUAGCAAGUGAAUAAUAAUUUAUUGGCUCAGCUGUAUUCUCGUUGAACAGCUGAGGGUGUGUAGAAAAAAGGAAAGUGUUUUCCUUUCUUUAACAGAAGGAAAACACUUUCCUUUAGCAAUGUUAUUAUUUUUAGGUUGACUGGAAUUCAUUUUUCUUUGACUAUUUUUCCUUGUUGUCGCCAAACAUAGGAAACGCAGGAAAGUGAAUUCCAGGAAUUCACUUUCCUGCAAUCAAACACGGCCUAAAAAAAAAAGUUUUGAAAAUCCAGAUUGAUCCUGUAACUCAUAAAUUAACCAAGUGACUUGAGCUCUUUUCGAGAUUUUAAGAUCAGAUCCCAGGCCAGUUCUGACUACUAUAAUCUCCAGUGACUGGCCCAAUUCAAAAUCAUGUUUUUGACGUUUCUCGUUGGAUCAAAGUGGGCUACCCUUUGUUCCUGAAUGCUGAAAGUCUACUAUUUUUUCACAGAGAUGAAAGCAAUUAGUAAAAGCAACUGAGCCAAGAAAUAUCCAACUAGCUUGAGCACAUCUGGAAGAUUUAGUCUCUGUAUUAUUUCACUUCUCUUAAUAAUUUUUCAGGUUCCUUUUGCUGUUAUAUAAAAAUUGCUUUCUCUCACGAGUCAAUAUCCAUUCUAUGAAAUUCUAGCGUUAGAGAGAGGUAAAAGUUUACAAUUUGUAUACCAUGAAGUAUAACGCUAAGAGUUAAACAUCUACAUGCUGGAUUUGUUUGAUUUAAUAGCAGUGAUGACCCUUGAAAGGUUGCCCUAUAAAACAAUGUCCGGUCAUCUUUACAACUUAUUUUCACAAUCCUUCGCCGGCUCGCUGAAGAACUCUUUGAAGCUCAUCUGCCAUCCCUUGUAAGAGAACUGGUUUUCGGAUCAUUCCAUUCAUUCCCAUCUGCAGGUAUCUCUCCCAAACAUUAUCCUCAGCACUGGAAGUCACAGCUAUAAUCAAUGGCCAACUCCGACUCCGACUUCGGAUCUUCCGGAUUCGCGUUGCCACUUCGAACCCAUCCAUUUCAGGCAUUUGAAUAUCUAAGACAACUAGUCUGAAAGAAUUUUCUGCAGAGCUAAGAGCACUAAGGCAUUCAAAUCCGGAUGAAACAGCAGUCACUUCACAACCUAACUUCUCAAGCAACUUCUUGGUAAUGGUUCUGUUUAAAGCAUCAUCGUCAGCAAGUAUAACACGAAGGCCUCUGAACUGAGGAAUGGAACUUGGUUGUUCUGAGGAAAGUCCUGAGGCAAAUGCGGCUCUUCCAUAAGAUGGUCGGAUUUGAAACCGAAGAACCAGAGUCAUGCUUUGUGCAAAACCCGGAGGGUUCAAAGAUAUCCAGAUAUUACCUUGCAUCAUCUGCAUAUACACUUCUUCUUAAUAUUGUUUCAUAUAGUAUAGUUCAUGCAUCUUAAAUCUGCUACAGGAAGAUAAACUGGAAAAAGAAAACAAAGCUCUUUAUUUCAAGUAUGCUUUCAUAAAAGCCACAGCGCAAACAGAGGCAUGAUAUAGCACCAAAUCAUUUAUAACCCAACCCCCCCUAAAAAAUAAAAUAAAAUAAAAAGCUUUUGAGUCCUAUAUGGAGGUGGCACCAACUGAAAAACAAAUGAGAUAUGGAUGAAGAGUCCAUUUGGUAUGACUUAUAGAGAAUCUUUUUUGACUUCGAGUCAUAAUUCUAAAGUUAAUUGUCAUGAAUGACUUCUGACAAAAAUAAUUUAAGUUGGAAAUAUCUUUGGGAGGCAUUGGCCGAGAACAAUUUCUUUUAGAAAUGGAGAUGGUAAAAAUUAGAAUCAAUAGGUUACAAGUUAGAAAUUUCAACUUUUAACUUGAUUGUAGAAAUAAGUUUUUGAUUCAAGAAAGUUAUUUCAAACCAAACAUAUGGUUUUUCUUUGAGUAAAAAACAAAUAAAAACUUAGAUAAUUUGCAAAAGUCAUGCCAAACGAAAUCUAAGUUGAGUAAUAUUUAGUGAGGUUAUUUGGAAGCGGAAGUGCGUUAUAAUUUCCAGAAAUGGAACUAGCUAAGAGAGAUUACCCAUGGAACAAGGUCAUAAUGAAACAUUCUGCAAGGGGAGAAUGCCUCAAAUCUCAUCAGAUGCAUUUACAAGAAGUUGUAAACUUAGAAAAGAAAGUUUUCUUUCAUAAAUUUUACUAGCAAUUCUCUAGCUCUGUGCAAUGCAUUUUCAUCUCUAGAUUUAGGUGCAUAAAAUGGCAUCAUUUCACCUCACAGGGUGUCUGCUGCCAUUGCCUCUGUUGCACAAUAAUGCAGCAAUAAUUAUCAACUACUGGCAUGUGUAGUCCACGUAGAUAAAAAUAAUAUUUGAUGCCUCACCUGUACAAGCUUUUUGCACAUGAUGAAGCCCAGACCCUCAGCUUCAGCACUGUUUUGCCUCCUACCAGAAGAAUUUGUGGAUGAGCUAGCUCCAUCUGAUAGAGAACUUCCUUCUCUGAUCUCCAUGUCAAACUUUAUACAUACAAACUCAUCAGGAGCAUUUGAUUUCCACAUCCCCAACAUUCUAUCUGUCUUGCCCACGCUAUCACUCUCUGAAAAAACUCGAAAUAUGACAUUCCCCCCUCCAUCAUAGAUAUUUAAAAGAUAUCCGACCAUGUGUAAAAUAACUUGAAAGGCCCUUCUUUCAUCUCCUAUCACUAGAUCAGGCAAAGAACUUUGAACAUCAAGUUCAAAAUCAAAACCUUUAUACACACACAAGCACUUAGCAAGGCAACAAGCUUCUUUGAUCAUGGAGCGUAGACGAAAGGGCACCUUCCGGUGUUAUCUUCUGCUGAAAUAUCCAUCACAUCGUUAAUCAAAGUUGAAAGCACAUUGCUGGUUUUCACCAAUGUGUCAAUAACAAUCCUUUGCUCGACGCCCAUAUUAUCAUUUUGGAACAUAGAAAGCAAUCCCAGGAUUGAGUGCAUUGGAACAUAGAAAGCAAGUGGGAUAUCCAAUUUGCUAAAGUGGUGGGGGCCUAUGUAGUGCUACGCUGUAUUUUGAAUUAUUAUUAUUUUUAAUAUAACAAAGAUAUCCUAAUAAUAAUAGCUUUUAAAAGCAACAAUAAAAAUUUGAAAUUUAGGUUAUUAAUUGAUUCGAAUGGAUUUAAUAAAUUCGAUUAAUUUAUUAAUAUAUAUAUAUAUAAACAAAUGAUAAAAAACAAUAAUGAUUAAUUAGAAAAAAUAAACGCUUGUUAAUAUUACAAAAGAUACCCUCUAAAUAUUUUUAAAAUGAUCUCAACGAUCUUAUUUUAUUACAACAUAAAAAUUCAAUGAGAAUGAGAUUACAUCAUGAAAAGAAAAAUGAAAGAAAUAUGAUGCUCAAUUACCAGCAAAGCAAAGAUUGAAAAUAAACUAGAAAAAAAACAUCAAUUUCAAAAAAGAAAAAAAAAACAUACUCGAGUUAGGAUGUCAAAUCAUGACCAGGAUAAGCCUACAUAUAAGAAUCGAAUAAAACAAUGGAGGUCAACUCUCAAGCAAACUAAAUGAUGAAAGAUAAAACUAGAAAAAAAAAAAAACAAGUGUCAACCUAGGUUAACUCAACUAAAUUGUGACACAGGAUAUAAGAUCGGAAUAAUUCUAUAAAAAAAAAAGCGAAGAAAAUCAUGAAACUCAAGGCUCAAUAACCCAAUAUUGAAGGAUAUUGAAAAAAUAAUCAUUUUUUUAAUAACCUAAAAAAAACUAAAGGUAAAUCGAACUAAUAUAUAAAACAAACUAGCAUGUCAUUUUCCUGCUAUUCAGGAUUUUAUGCAAUGAAAUCAUUCAUGCUAAAAAAACUAUCUUAACUCAAUAAUUUAAGCAUUUAGGCAAGGUUUCAGGAUAUAAUAUAUAUUAUUCUCUAAUACAUUUCCUCAAGUGAAAGCCUUUUGAGCUUGAAACUUAUAUAAAAUCAUAUUAUCUUAUACUUAAUUUUUACCAAAUAAAUAAGAAUGGUAAUAUUCAAACUCGUGACCGUUUGGUCAUUAAAAUUCUGAUAUCACCAUCUUAAUUUAAUAAUUUAAAUUAUUAAAUAAAAUUUUAAGAUAUAAUUUAUAUUAUUCCAUAAUAUUAUAGUAAUUUAAACCUAGCCACUGGCUAGGGGCACCCAACUAGCUAGGGAUGCGAUGAACCUUUUUUUGACGGCCUUGUAACCCAGUAUAUUGCAAAAAUAACAGUGCUCCUAGCCCAAGCCGGCCAACAUCACCCCCAGCAGAUUGGAAAAAAUGCUCAUAACCAUUUCGGAAAAAACACACCUAGGCUACUAUGGUAUGCUAAAAAGUGGAAAUAAAUCGAUAAUAAUCAUGAAAUAAAUCGUAAGCAGAAACCGAAAAAAAUAAAUAAAUUGUUCAUACUACUCCAUCUUGAUUGAUGGGAAUGACUUCGGACUUGCAUACAUAUGUAAUAUGUAAGACUCCUGCUAAAAUUAUCCGAUAAAUUAUCAUGAAAAAAAUUAAUAAAGUCAGAAAACAACCAUGAAAUGCUUCUUAAAUUAAAUAAAAUGGAGAAAAAAACUCAGGUAAUAAAUGUUUUAUUUACUUUUAAGCUGAAAGCAUUUCUAUUCAAUGAUAUUUCUUAGUCACAAAUAAGCUAGCAACAAUUAUAUGAGAAUCAAAUCUUCUCAAUCACAUGUUCAGCACUCAGAAAGCAAAUUUACAGAGUAAUAAGUCUAAUAAACUUCUUGAUCUAGUGCAACAGAUAAUUCUAAAUUUAUUAAAUAGACUCAUUAACAUUUUUUAUAUAUUUAUUGACCUAAAUAAUUCUAAAUUUAUCUAAUUAAAUAUAUACAAAACCUGGUUAGUAUAACUAAACACACUGACUUUUGGCUACCACACUAGCUUUUGGCAUUAAGUGGCUUGUCCCCAGAACCUGGUCCCAAAUGCCAGCAACCGAGCAUAAAAGGUUUCAACACCAUGGUGCCUUUUCCUUGUUGAAAACAUAAAAUAAAAUUUAAGUCAAGGAGGUCCAGUCUUAAAUGCUCCAAACAUUAUCCAUGUCUCAAGCUUAUGUGAUCCAAGAAUUCAUAUUUAUUAUAAAAUUAUAAUUUUAUAUGAGUUUUUAUCUUAUGAUUCAAGAAGUUUAUAUUGUAUAUUCAAGAAUUUUAAGCUUAUAGUUAAUUUUAUAAUUCAUAAGAAUAUUUGAUCCCUGAAUUAGUUUUAUAAUUGUUUUGCAUAAAUUCUUAAGAAUAAAAAUAGUUUAGCAAUAGUUUUCGUGCUAACAAUGCUACUCUAUUCGGCUUUUAAUUCAAAUUGUAUUUUUUAAGUUUUUUUAUUUUUGUAAAAUUGAUUGGAAAAAAAAUAUCAGGUCAUGUGGGCUUAACUCGAAUCGGCAAAAUCAAAGACACAAGUAAAUAAUAAAUUUCAAUAUUCAGAGUUGAAGACCGGUGGAGCAAAAUCUAACUAUGAUAUAAAGCGUGUUGAAAAUAUCGUGCAAAUCAUGUUCCUUUAAAAUUUUAAUUAUUUUUGCUUAAAAUUAAAUUUUUUAAUGUUUUGAAAUCGUUUUGAUAUUCUAAUGUUAAAAAUAAUUUUUUUAAAAAAUAUAUUAUUUUAAUAUACUUUUAAAUAAAAAAUACUUUCAUCCGCAACCACAUUUCAGGCUUGUUUGGGACUGGCAAAGUCAAAUGUUAGACCAGUCAUAUAACAAACUGUCUUUAUAAAUUUGAUCACAUGUAAAUAAAUUUUAAUUAGUGUAGAGACACUAUUGAGUAAAUUGGGACAAAAGUCUAGGACUUCGAUAAUACUUAAAUAAUAGUAAUGUUCCUACAAUAACAAUGACGUUACAUAACUUACAGUAUAUAUAUAUAUAUAUAUAUAUAUAUAUAUAUAUAUAUAUAUAUAUAUUGGAUGUCCAAAGCACAAAUAAUAAUAAUUUUGGAUGCAAAACAUAGGCUGCAACGCAGAUGGAAUCCAAAUAUAAGUUAUUCCAACUUUCUUUCUAUCCCAAGAAAUCGAGAAUGCUUGUAGCUUUUGAUGUUUAAGAAAUCGAGAUAACCAUUUUUGAAAGCAAAGGCUUUAAAUAUUCAAAACAAGGAUCCGUUAUCAUUUAUAGAGAUAUACCACUGUAGCUUUUGAUGUUUACCGGUUUUGGAAAUGCGCUUACGCUUUUAAAUGUUUUUUUAUAUUUGUUUUUAAAAAAUAAUAAUUUGAUAAAUUUUUUCGUAUUUUUUAAUAAUUUUAAUAUAUUAAUAUUAAAAAUUAAAAAUAAUUAAAAAUUUUAUUUUAAAAAGAAAAAAAAUCAAAGUUUUUGAAAAGCAUGUGCUCUAACAAUAACAGAUUAAAUAUGUGAUUAAUAGCAUGUGAUUAAAGGUUUUCAGUCGAUGCCAUUACAUGCAGUCAAAGACUCCAUCCUUACUUUUAAUAAACAAAACCUACACUCAAUAAUAUGUCCUAGUUUUUAAAAAAUAUAAAAAUAAAAUGUUAAGAGCGAAGAAAGUUUGUUGGCGAUAUUAUUAAAUCUGGUUAGGGGAGUUGAUAUUAAAAUCUUUUAAUCUAAUUUUUUAUUUAAUUUAAAUUUUUAAUUAAAUUGUAUGGAAAUUAACUUAAUUUAAAUCAAUUAAUAUCUAAAUAUAAUUUGAAAGUAUGGUAAAGCAUGGCUUAGCUUUUUUAAAAAAAACUCUAAACAACAACUUCUAAAAAAAUAUUGAAACAAUGAUAGAUUUGAUCGAUCCCGGUCUCUCGUGACCUGGGUCAUGAAUUCUAUUGGGUUUAGUAAUUUUUUAUAAAUUUUUUUAUUUAAUUAUAUGAUAAAAAUAAAUGCUCAUAAAAUUGAGUAUCAUUCCUAAAAUAAAUAUUUAUUUAAGAUUAUGAUAAUUUUAUAGAAAACAAAUAAAAAGAAAUCAUGUUGUCUAUUUCCAAACCAAUCUAAUAUUAAAAAAUAAAAUUAAAAAAUCAGAGAAAAAAAAUAUAUCAAAGAAAUCACAUAAGUAGUUGCUAAGAAGGAACCCGCCGCUUACCUACCAAACAAUAUAUAUAAGAAGUUAACGCGUGGACCACCCCAGUUAUGAAGCUUAGAGUGUGUUUGACAGUGUGAUAGCGGUUGCUUUUCAAAUAGCUUUUCGUGCCGAAAUACAUGCCAAUGAUAUUUUUUUAUUUUUUAAAAAUUAUUUUUAACAUCAGCACAUCAAAACGAUCCAAAAAGUACAAACCGAACUCAAUUUUAACAAAAAAAAUUUUUUUUUGAAUUUUGACAAAACACCGUUUGGAACGCAAUGCCAAACGGUGUCUUAGAAGAAGAUGCCUAGAAAAUGUAAACACAUGAAUAUGAGAAACAAUAAUAUUUUUUGGCCCAGAGGUUUUACAGUUCCAUUGAGGAAAAAAAAGAAAAAAUCAAUAUAGUAUUUUCAGGUUAUGCUACUUUCUAGUUUUAGUAUUAAAUUUAGUCUUAGAAGUUUCACUUAUUUAAAAAAUAUGUUUAUGAAUACGGCAGUUUCAGGUUUAGAAACCAAAACUGUCAUAUUCAUACUCUCUCUUAGACACUUUAAAAAUGUGUGUAGAUUUAUAAUAGUGAAUAGAUUUAUUAUUUUAUUAGGUUACUUUAAUGAUAAAUCAAUAUAUUAUUUUUUGGAUUUUCAUCUUGGAGAAACUUGAUAAGGAUGAAAAUAUAAUAUUAAUCAAACUUCAAAUUAUAAUUAUUUAUCUAUCCAGUUAAAAAAAAGGUACAAAGGAUGAAGGAUUAUUUCAAUAUUAACUAGUAAGAAUAUCCUUGUUGAUUUUAAAGGACUAUUUUCAUAUCAUAUCGAAAAUGAUUGAAAGAAUUUGAUAUUAUUGAAUAUGAGCAAAUUUUAAGGUUGCAAUCAAUUACCAUUGCUCGUCAAACUCUACAAAGGGAUGAAGGACUUCCUUUGCAUCAGGAUCCCCACUCCACUACUCUCUCCCACCAGUCUUCUGGAUAUGCCUUGAUUUUUUAAGAGAAGGGGGAGGGAUGGCUGCCCAUUUUCAAGCAACGGAAGACAAUUGGCAUCCUCUUCAGCUUCUCACAAGCCAUUACAGUAAUAUCUUCAAGAGAAUUGCAAAUCAGUUUUGCACUGCAAAUGCUUUUCAGUUCUGGUAACAAAUACAAUUCCAGAGUUAUUAACUUUGGGAGAAAUGACUUCCAUGAUGGAAUGGGAGGUGCUUUCUUCAUCUGUUGUUCCUAUUAUCUCCUCCAUUUUCUCACAAUCAUUCUUCAAUCCUUUCCAGGUUUACGAGGUUGGCCAGCAACACAGCGGGAACAACUUCAUACUUUUACAGUCAAAACAAUAAAACUCUUUAAGAACCAGAAACGUACCGUUACAUGAUGGCAUCGUGGUGGAGCAGAGAAGAACCAAGAAGAUGAAACCAAGCUCUCCAUUUUAAAAAUCCGCAUGCUACUUUCUAGUUUUAGUAUUAAAUUUAGUAUUUAAAAAUAUGUUUAUGAAUAUGGCAGUUUCAGGUUUAGAAACCAAACUUGCCAUAUUCAUACUCUCUUGGACAUUUUAAAAAUGUGUUGUAGAAGAAUACUUUCAAUGAUGAUUUAAUAUUAAGUUACUUUAAUGAUAAAUCAUAUAGUAUUUUUUUUAUUUUUUGGAUUUUCAUCUUGGGGAACUCAAUAGGAUGAAAAUAUAUAUUAAUCAAACUUCAAAUUAUAAUUGUUAAUCUAUCGAGUUAAAAAAAAUAUGACAAUUCAGUAGUCUUAAUGAAAUAAAAAAAAUGAAAAAUGUUAUUUAUGUAAUUGUAAGCAUACUAUUUAUAUUAGUUUACAAAGGGACGAAGGACAUCUUUGCGUUGGAUACUCCACUCCACUACUGACUCCCACCAUUUUUUUAGAUAUACAAAGAUUUUUUUAAGAGAAGGGGGAGGAGAUGGCUGGCCGUUUUCAAGCAAUGGAAGAUAAAUUGGCAUCCUCUUCAGCUUCUCACAACUUUCCUACCAAAGAUUAUAUUACAAGAGACAACAAGUUGCUGUACACCUCUAUUUCGCUUUUCUUUUGUCUAGCGCUGCAUAUAAUUAAAAUCUUCAACAAAAGAAUCAAAAGCUAAAAAUUAUUUAAAAAAAAAACAUUUUCUGACAAUAAUGCCAAACACUUUAACUCGUGGACCCACCCCAUUGUUGAAACUUUGAUAAAGCUGACCUGAAAAUGUAAGAGCCUGAAGCUUAGCUUCAAGAGCUGUAAGUACUAUGCUAGGAAUGAUGCAUCGCACUCCUCUCCCAUCAAUGUCAUUAUCUGAUCCACUCCAACUUCCAUUCCCUAAAAAUUUAACGAAGAAUAGCAUUAGCAAUAAAAAUAGUGCUUAGGGGUACUGAAACAACCGUUAAACCUAUGGUUGGAAAUAAAACUCAGGACUCAAAACCUACAGUACUUUGAGAAUUUGUACACGUUAAACGUUUAUAAGAAAAAAAUGUGGAGUCCAUUGAAAUAAAACCACAACUACGUACCUUGAAUAUCUACACAAGUUUUUCCUAAUAAGAAUUCUGGUAGAAAGCCUUGAAUAUGUAAAAGAAAAAUUGCUAAUAAGAAUCAUAGUAUUCUAGAUGAUAAUACCUAUUUGUAAAGUCCAUACAUAUUCCUUCUCAAAUUAAUUAUGACAUGGUAACAUCAUGAUUGAUGAAUUUUUUAGUCGAGUUGUAUUUGCUUCGUGUUUUUCCUACUAGUUAAGGUUUUUGUUACGAUGAUGUUCUUAACAUCAAAAAGAAUUUUUACUAUAUAUCACUACCAGAAAUUCGCUAAAUACCAACGGAUUAACCGACGGAAUUUUUUCUGUCGGUAUUUUUCGGUCGAAAUCACCGACGGCCAAGUUUCGUCGGUAAUUCGGUCGGUAAUUACCGAUAGAAAAUUCAGAAUUAAUGAAAAAAGGGCGGGUAGAUGGCGCCGAGGUUUUGGCGGGUGAUUUUGCCGACGGAAUCACCGACGGAAUGAAAACCUGGGGCCCGUACGCGUGAUGGGACCUGUUCACCGUCAAUAAUACCGACAGAAUCACCGACGGAUUUGAAAUGCCAGAUCCGUACCGGUGACGUGACCGGUGCACCGUUAAAGUACCAACGGAAUCACCGAGGGAUUUGAAUAGCAAGUCCGUGCGGUGACGUGUCGAUUGCCGUCAGAAUUACCGAUGGUUUCCGAGUUCACGCGGAAUAAACCGUCUGUAAUUCCAUCGGCAAAAGUGAAUAUAUGGCCACUCUGCCGACACUCUCCUCCCCCAUUUCUCCUUCUUCUCCUAAUCCUAACCCUCCCAUCUGCAAAUAACCAGCCCCCCCUCGCCCCAAAACAAAAAUCUUGAAGUUGUAUUUCUUGAAGUUUUUGGUCACAGCAUCCGUGUUUGAUUACCGACGGAUUUUAUCAUUUUUUUAAGUAAUUCUAUCUUUUAAAAUUUUAACAUUUAAAUGUCAAUUUUAUUGUUUUUUUUAGUAUAUGUAUUUUUUUUAGUAGAUGUACAUGUUUUAUUGUUAUUUCUCAAACAAACUUGUUAUAUGAAUGUAAAAUUUAUACUUGUUAUGGUUUGUUUUAGAUUUUGUAAGAUUGUAUUUGUUUGUAAAUUGUUAAAACUUAAUUUGUAGAAUUACCGAAUUACAUGUUUGUUUUGAAAUAAUUAAGAGCUUGCUUAAUGGGUCCUUUUUAUAGAGGUUCGAUAGAAGUCAUGGAUGAUCGUUCAUGGAUGUAUCUAGAUUCACCCCAAGGAUUGCGGAGGAUGGAUUAUUGUAACGGGGUUCAGGGGUUUUAUUAAUUUCGCAACAUCUAUUCCCAGAAAUUUUACUGGAGGCGGUAUUAGGUGUCCAUGCAGGAAGUGUCAAAAUAAAAAGUAUCUGCAUCCAGAUGUUGUAAUAAUGCAUCUUCUACACAAAGGGUUUGUGGAGGAUUACGAGUGUUGGUAUGCACAUGGAGAGGUAUUUGUUAGUAAUAGGAGAAUGGGAGAAACGGUGGUUGGGUCAACUUCUAGUGCUAGCAACGUGCAUGAAGCGGCAAAUGACAACACUAAUCCUUACAGAAACAUGGUUAUGGAUGCAAUGAGAAUGAAUCAAGAUAAUGUCAAUCAAUGUCCAAUCGUAGAAGAAGAACCUAAUGCAGAGGCAGCUAGGUUUUUUGAUUUGUUGAAAGAUUCUGACGAACCAUUAUGGGAUGGCUGCACAAACCACAGUAAAGUAUCGGUCGUGGCACAGGUGUUCACCAUCAAGUCAGAUCACGGGUUGAGUGAGGUCGGGUAUGACAAAAUUAUUGAUUGGACAAGAAGCAUUUUACCUGAAGAGAACUUCUAUACUGCGAAGUCCAUGAUGAAACCCCUCGGUUUAGGAUACCAGAAAAUUGACAUGUGCCCUAACUUCUGCAUGUUAUACUACCUUGAAAAUGAUUUUAAAUUCAACGACAACAACAAUAUACUCAAGACCAAUAUUACAGUAAAGAAAUUAAAACAAUACAGAUCAAUAAAUGAUCCAAAUAUAAUAAAGACUUAGUCCAUUUAAUAGAAGCAACAUGAAUGUACCUUAUAUCCGAGUCGUGAAAAUAAAACACAAUAUUUUUUAAACUAAUAAUUUUUAAAAAAUAUAUUCAGUAAAACAACAUUUAUCAAGUUAACUAUCUCAUGAAGGUUGACGCCAUCAUGCCUUGGAAACAGAGGAUCUGUAAGGUUAGCGUUCCUGUUUAAGAGAACGACAUCAAUUUAAUUAUGCGAGAUUCAAUCUUUUUUCCACUACAAAUUCAAUCAUGUACGUAGACCUCCUACCUACAUUUUUAAUAUUUCUGGAUCUGCUUUUUGAUUCAUCAAGGACAGAGUAGAUUGCAGCUUCAUCAUAGAAAAGUUCGUCUUCUUCAUCUUCUUGGUUGGCACGAGGAAAUAUAAGUGGACUCUUCUCCAGACAAAACUUGACAGUAUCUUCUGUUGCAAACGAAGGUCUUUUUUCAAAAACAUGAUGCUUAGCAUAUUACAUCAAGGGCAAAGUCAUCAUUUAAAUAAUAAAGGGACGAAGGACAUCCUUAGCAUUGGGAUGCUCCCACUCCACCACUGACUCCCACCAUUCUUUUGGAUGAAUCUCCAUUUUUAUAAGAGAAGGGGGGUGAGAUAGCUGGCCAUUUUCAAGCAACGGAAGAUGAAUUCCCAGCAUUUUCAGCAUCUCACAAUUUGUUAUCCCAAUUUGUUGGAGAGAAUCGCAGAUCAGUUCUGCACUAAAAAUGCUUUUCAGUUUUGGUAAUUCGGUCAAAUAUAGAAUUCUUAACUUUGGAAGUUUGAGUUCGAUGCUGCUGCAGCUGCUUUCUUCAUCUGAUCCUGUUCCUAUUAUCUCCUCCAUUUCGACACACCAUCUAACUUCAAUCACUUCCAGGUUUACAAGGGAUGUCAGCAAGACGAUAGGGAACAAUUUCUUCAUACUAUUACAUCCAGAGCAAUAGAACUCCAUAAGACCAGAAAAUAUGCCUUUAGAAGAUGGGCGUGACCUCAAAUCCUCCAUCUCUUUACGUAACAAAGAAGAUGAAACCAAGCCCUCCAUGUUACUGCAAUCCUUGAUGUUGAUGACCUCUAGUUUUUCUGCACGUAUUAUUGAGAGGAAACAUUGCAUAAACUUGUUGCAGCAUCACAAUAAAAAAUCAUCAGCUGUUGAAUGUCAUUUGGAAAAAUGUCCUCAAGAUCUCCAUCGCUCUCGAUACUCAAGUCACCCAACCAAACACUUUACAUCUAUAAUACCUUUUUACAUCGUAAUCAUCAUACCCAAAGUCUCCUACAAAAAAAUUGUAUUCUCUUGGCGAUUGGGUACUAUUAUCCCGAUAUUUGAGAUAAUCCACAAAGUCAGAGUAACCAUCAAAAUGGCAUUUUAAAGUUUCCAACUUCCUCAAGCAUGCUACUUCUUUUCCUUUAACUGUCACCGGAGCAAGUUGUUUAUCCAUACGACCCGCAGUAGGCAUAAAGUCUUCUAGUAUAAAAACUUGCAGGUGCAAGAGUUUUGGUAAUAUCCCACUAGGAAACUCACGUUGACCACAUCCAUUCAUUCUAAGAUACCUCAGGUUGGAGAGAUAUUCCAUGCCUUGAGGCAUCUUUUCAAGUGCAGUACGAUAGAGAUCCAACCUCCUCAGUGCUCUGAGCUUUUCCAAUGAUGGUAAAUGUCUUAGCUUAUCACAAGCGAUGAGCAAUAGUGAAGUGAGAGUCAGCAAAUCAGAGACAGCAUCUGGUAGUCUUUGAUAUUCGUAUAAGACAGAUCAAGAACCUUGAGCCCAAACAACUGCUUAAAAAAGGAUUCUGCAAUAAAUCUCAAGUCGUAAUUACAACUUAACAGUAAGGUUGAUAGAUUUGGACAACUUGGUGAAUGGCUCGAGGGAAUUUCUUCAAUUUUGUUAUACAUAAGUGAAACUCUCGUGAGAUUAUCUGUCCACGCAUCUGUAUCCGGCAAUUCUUUUAAUUGCACAUCUGCUUUAAACAUGCCUGGAGAAUUCUCUUGCAGUAUUUGGAUGGCCAUGUCCCUAAUCAAGUGAUGCAUCUUGACAUUAUCACUAUCAAUUCUUUCCAGCAAACAGAUAUUUUCAAGACUAUUAAGCAUCGAAUAGCCUUUGUCAAAUUCUGCCACCCUACUGUUGAGCCCUUUUAUCACUCCCUCGUCAAUCAAAUACCCUACCAAAUCCUUCCUACAGAUCGUGUAGCCUUCAGGAAAUAAUGCACAAUACAACAGACAUUGUUGCAAUGCUGAAUCUUUUAAGUGCGUAUAACUAAAUCUCAAUAUCCGGAAUACCUCUUCUUCCAUGCCAUCUUGCCUAACUCUUGAUUGUCUCAGGUCCUCUAAGGCAUUCCUCCACUCGUGUAUGUCAUCCACCCCUUUCAUGGUUACAGCCAUUGUUAUAAUUCCUAGCGGCAAACCAUCACACUCCUUUGUGAUAGAUUUUGCAAUUUGUUCCACUUCUGGAGAAAAUGCAAUGACAUGUCCAAGUCUCUCAAUAAAAAGAGUCCAAGCUUCUUCCUCCGAAACAGGCUUUACUUUGAUUAUGUGUUGGGUAUCCAUCUGGUCACAAACCUUUUUUGAUCGAGUUGUAAGAAUCAGCUUGCAUCCCUUAACUUGGAUAGGAACCCCCAACUUGUGUAGUUCAAAAGCCUUCCAUAAAUCAUCUAAAAUCAGAACCCAUUUCUGCUUCUUCAUUAAUUCUUUUGACAAUUUGACCGCUCUGUGCAGCUCCUCGUCUUCAUUAGAAAGAUCUAAACCAAUACUUCUUGCAAUACUGUUCUGCAAUCUACUAAUGCUGGUAUCUUGUGAAACAGUAAUCCAGUAAACAUGACAGAAAGUAUCUGAUGUUUCUAGAAGCUGAUUAUAUAUGUGUGUCACCAAUGUUGUCUUUCCCACUCCACCCAUCCCAUAGAUGCCAAUCCUUGAAACUUCAUCGUUCAUCAACCACUGCCAGAUAAUCCUCCAAUGGUCUUCGAAUUCAUGACCCACCAGCUUUGUCGUUGGUAGUGCAUCUUCUUUAAUCUCAUCUAUGUUCCAUGUAAGCCCUCCAAAAGAGCUAGCUCCUGCACCAGGCUGCACUACUCCUCUAGUCCCGUUAUCUAUAUCAUCCUCUGUUGACAAAUUACAGAUCUCAUCCAAACUUCUCUCAAUUGAUUGACCCGUUACAUCUGGUGCUUGUAUCCUUCCAGCAUCCCAGCCAAAUUGUCAAGUACUGCUUUGUUUUGUUCUAGCAGACCGGUUGAAAUAGCAUAAUCAUUAACAUUGCUCGAACUUUCUAUGCUUUUAUCUCCUCGAGGCUCAUCAGCUUGAUUAAUUGAUGGCCUCUCACAAGAGCUACCUCUCUCCAGAUGCUGCACUUGUUCUGUUCUCGGUACAGUUUCAAAUCCAUCAUGCAGACGCUCCACAUCCUCAUCUUCCUGCAUUAAAUAGGUAGAGAUUGCAUUCAGCUUCUGCUCCUUUGAAAGGGCAGAGUGUAUCUGAUCCCAAUUAUAAUCAGCAAAUGGAUCCACCAAAUCUGUUCCUGGUGUUGCUUCUCCUCUAUUCUCAUGAGCAUCAACUCUGAGUCUCCAAGGAGAGACACUUCUGUCAACAUGCUGAAAAGAUCCUUCACCAGUGUAUUCCAUGCCACUUGCCGCUUCUAAACGCGAAUGAAUUCUCUCAGGCCCACAACCUUGUGCCAAAUUACCAAGUACUGCAUUGUCUUGAUCUUGUCGACAGGUGGAAAUGUCAACAUUGCUUGAACUUGCUAUGCUUUUAUGUCUUUUGUUGCCAACAUGCAUAGCUAGAAAGGCUGCUUCUUGAACUUCUUUAGGCACUUGACCACAAAUGACAACAUUAUGCCCUCUCUCUCCUGAUAAAUGCCAUUUGAUCCUCGAAAUGGAAGUACCAUUGGCAAAUAAAUGCCCACAAAACUUACACUUCAUGCUUCCAUCAUUCAUAUCUUCAACUUCCUUCCAAAACGGAUCAUCUGAUCUACCCAUUUUGUCCUACAGAUAAAAAGGGUCAAAAUAUUGAAUAAAAAUUAAUGGAAGUACAUUAAUUGGAAAAGGAAGGUUGAAACUAAAAUAAUAAGUUACAAACAGCGAAGAAACUAAGAAGAAAAAACAAUGAAUUCAAGGUUAACCUGGGGUCAAUUUAGUUUGAACUUUGAACUGCAUAAGGCAUGGAUUGUUGUUACAACUGAGAGAUCAAUAUUAUUUUUUGGAACUGUUGAUGAUCCUAACUCCAAACUUUCUCAUUAGAAUUUCUACAAGCUGUGUUUUACUUGAAAGAUUCAAACCAGAACAUGUGAAAAACAAAUGAAGAAGAUGGGAGUAGAAAUAAUUUAUACCUGGAUUCAAGUUGUUCUUCAAGUGCUGGUUUCGCUUAAGUAGUAUUCAGGAAGAAAAACAAGAACAGAGAAGAAUAUAUGGUUUAAAAAUAACAAGGAAGUUGCAAGAUGUUGAGCUCCAGAUGAUUCGAUUCAAUCAGAAAAGGAAGCACUGAUCAUCAGAAAGUUUAAGAAAUUUGAUGAGGGAAAUGGGAAAUCAAUGGUAUAAUGAGAUGAGAUUUGGAAGAGAAUGUUACAGUAGCAAAGAUUAUUGUAUUGUUUGAGAAGAAGGAAGUUGCUAGGAAGGAAGCCACAAACUUUACCUACCAGAGAUUAUAUUAUAAGAUAUGGCAAGUUGCUGUACACCUCAAAUUUGCUUUUCUUUUGUCUAGCGCAGCAUAUAAUUAAAAACUUCAACAAAAGAAUAGAAGCUAAUUGCUGUCUGAGUUAACGUGUGGACCCACCCCAUUGUUGAAACUUUUGAAAAAGCUGGCCUGAAAAUGUAAGAGCCUGAAGCUUAGCUUCAAGAGCUGUAGCAAAGUAUUGACCGUCAUUAUCUGAUCCACUCCAACUUCCAUUCCCUAAAAAUUUAACGAAGAACAACAUUAGCAAAAAAAAAAAAAUCUUGCUUAGGGUACUGAAACUACCGUUUUAUAGAUAACUUAAGAAAUUUUACUUAUGAUUACCUACUUAGUUCACACCUUGAGCUUGAGAGAUCAGGCAGAAACACAAGUUUGAUCGCUCCCAGAAAGGUUCAAAAACUGAUUUUCCUAGUUAGCAUUUCCAUGAGCAGUAAGCGUCCUAUUAGUUUCGUUGCCCACGCUUAGUUUCGAGGUGUCAGCAACGUUCUUCUGAGCAUAAAUUCUUCUUUAUGAGUUUUUAUCUUAUGAUUCAAGAAGUUUAUAUUGUAAAUUCAAGAAUUUUAAGUUUAUAGUCAAUUUUAUAGUUCAUAAAAAUAUUUGAUCCCCGAAUUAGUUUUCUAAUUGUGUUCUUAAUUCCUGAACUUGUUUUCUAAUUGUUUUGCAUAAAUUCUUAAGAAAAAAAAAUAUUUUAACAAUAGUUUUUGUGCUAAAAAUGCUACUCUAUUCGUACUUUUAAUUCAAAUUGUAUUUAUAUAGUUAAAUGUUUUUCUCUUUAAUAAAUCCAUUAUUGGAUUUGAAAUUUAUAACUUAUUUUAUAAUUCAAAAUGGAGAUUUGGUUUGUUUUUGAAGUUUUUUAUUUUUGUAAAACUGAUUGAAAAAAUAAAAAUUACAUCAAGACAUGUUUACUUAACUCAAAUCAGCAAGAUCAAAGACACAAAUGAAUAAUAAAUUUUAAUAUUCAUAGUUGAUGACCGAUGCAGUAAAAUCUGACUCUGACCUAUAGCGUUACACUGCAUUCCUUUAAAAUUUGAUAUUGUUUUUGUUUAAAAACUAAUUUGUUUUUUUAUUAUUUUUAAAUUAUUUUGAUAGGCUAAUAUUAAAAAUAAUUUUUUAAAAAUAAAAAAAUAUAUUAUUUUAAUAUAUUUUUAAACAAAAUUUAUUUUAAACCAUAACUGCUAUUAUAUUACCAAACACGUCCUCAUCCCGUUACUUUUUAUUGACCUCUUAAUUUCAAAGAGAACCUUAGCCAUUCCUUUAUGCAAGUGCACGCUUUGCCAAACAAACCUUUAGGAUAAUGGGUUGCCCUCCGACGGCUUGCCAUAACAGGCCAGGACUAAUUUCGACUCUUCGUUGGGGAUAGCAGUGAUGGGAAUGAUGACACUUCUCUCCAUCCUUGACCAUUUUAAUUUCGAGAAACUCCCCCACCAUCCCAUAAAAAAGUAGUCCUUUUGUUUGAAUAAUUUUCCCAAUUAGUCCUUAUAUUUUAGAUAUGGUGUUCAACAUGUUUUUACAAGUUUAAUUACUCUUAAAUUGCCCUUAAGACAUUUUCUAAUCUAUCCUUUUAAUAAGUAUCUUUGUUUAAGCUAAUAAAGAUAAAAUUAUUAAUUACUUAAAAAAACUCAAUCCUGCCUAAUUUAUUAAAAAAAAAAAUUAAAAUUUGUUUUUAUGUUAAUUUUUUCUCAUGGUUAUCUGUAAAGAAGAAACUGUAUCUAACCAUUAACAUGUUAUUUAAUAAUUAAUUAAAUUUCAAAUCUUUUGUUUUAUUAAUUUUGACUUAAACUUAUAAAAUCAACCCAUGAAACUAUCGAUUUUAUUAUUAAUUAAUUUUUCCUAAACAAUAUUGUUUUAAUGUUUUAAAAAAUUAAUUAAAAAUUCUUUAAAAAAAACUAUAUUGAAUUGAUCUAUAUUUGCUAGAGUUAAUUUAUCAAACUCAUAAAUAAGUUAUGUAACAAAUUAUUUUUAUAAAUUUGUUCACAUGUAAAUAAAGUUUAAUAAGUCUAGAGACACUAUUGAGUAAUUUGGGACCGUCUAGGACUUAGAUAAUACUUAAAUAAUAGUAAUGUUCCUACAAUAACAAUGACGUUACAUAACUUAAAGAAUUGUUUUUUUUUUUUUUGGAUGUACAAAGCACAAAUAAUAAUAAUUCUGGAUGCAAAACACAGGCUUCAACGCAGAUGGAGCAAGAAAUUCCAAAUCAAUGAGAGGCGAAGAGUUCUUGGUGUUUCUGCCAUUAUCAAUUUUAUUUUAUUUUUUACUCUCUUCAUGUGAGUAUAUAAACUAUCUUAACAUUUACAAUUCAAGCCAAAAUUGAUAAUGGCAGAAACACCAAGAACUCUUCGCCUCUCAUUGAAGACCAGGUUCCUCCUCGCCGCCCACUCCUUUGGGAUUCGCGCCGCCAGCCGUUCCGACCACACCGUAAACCGCAGCGUAUUGAACAUCUUCGACCCCAAGGCCGCUGCUUCCGCCAAACCAAUCAAUGGGGUCUCCUCUUUCGACAACACUAUUGACCCUACCCGCAACCUGUGGUUCCGCCUCUAUGCCCCCACAUCCACCGCCACUACCGAUGCUCUGCCUGUGAUCAUAUUCUUUCAUGGUGGGGGCUUCGCAUUCAUGGCGGCUAACUCAAAAUCUUUUGACGUACUCUGCCGGCGACUUGCCCGUGAAAUUAAUGCAGUUGUUAUCUCUAUAAACUAUCGGCUUGCUCCUGAGUACAAGUACCCAUGCCAGUACGAGAUGGCUUUGAUGCAUUGAAUUACAUCGAUGACAUGACCUUUGAGAAUUUCCCAGCAAAUUUGGAUCUUGGAAGGUGUUUUAUUGCCGGUGAUAGUGCAGGAGGUAACGUGGCUCAUCAUGUCGUGCUCAAAGCUUGUGAACACACAUUUUCUAACAUAAAGAUCAAGGGACUCAUAGCAAUGCAGCCAUUUUUCGGAGGGGAAGAAAGACAGAAUCAGAAAUCAAGCUUGUUGGGGUUCCUUUAAUAUCAGUGGAAGGUACAGACUGGAUGUGGAAGGCGUUUCUGCCUGAGGGAUCGGACCGAAACCACUCGGUGGUUAAUGUUUUCGGACCAAAUGCGGUGGAUAUUUCAGGCGUGAAGUUCCCUGCGACGUUACUCUUUGUCGGAGGGUUCGAUCCCUUGCAAGAUUGGCAGAAGAGGUACCAUGAGGGGCUGAAGAAAUCUGGGAAAGAAGUACAUUUGGUAGAGUAUCCAAAUGCUUUUCAUGGGUUUUAUUGCCUGCCUGAAUCGCCUGAAUUUUUCUUUGUUGAUCGGUGAGGUGAAGAGUUUUGUGCAAAAGCAGUCAUCUCUUACAUAGGGUGAGGAGACGACGAUCUCUAUUUUAUUAUUAUACCUUAUUUUAUUCACAUUCAAUAAUUAAAUCGUAUUUAAAUUGCAAUGAUUUUAUUUACCAUUGAAGAUAGAUUAUUAUAUGUGUAUUGACUUGUUCAAUUAUUUGAUUUAUUAGAUUUAACAUUAAAAAAAAAUAUUUUGCUUUCUAUUACCAAUCACACUAAAAUAAUGCUGCGUCCUUUGAGCCAUUUGGUGAGGAAUGGUGAUGGUGGUUUUUUGUUUUUUUUUUUUUGUUUAUACUAAUUUAUAAGUUGUGGGGUUGGCAUGUUAAAUUUCUAUUUUUAAUUGAAUAAUAUUGUUUUAAAGAAAAAACUUACACAACAUUCUUUUAAAUAAAUAAAAAAUCUUUGGAGUUCAUACUAGUAGAUUUCACAAUAGUUUACUUGGAUUAAUCGAGUCAUAAAUUAAUCUGUUAAGUUUUUUUAGUGCUAAUUGAUUUGUUAAGUUAUUUAAAUUAAAUUAAAUUAAUUUUUUAUUUAGAUAAAAAGCAAACUCAGUUUGCAUCAGAUUUCAAAUCAGUAACUGGGUUGAUCCUUCUAAUUAAUGUAUAAUGAAAUGUGCAUGACUAACUGGGUUGAUGGUUGAUAGUUUUGACACAGUUCAUUUUUCAUUGUAUGUGGGAGAGAAGCAAUGAAGAAGAGAAGAGGAAAAGAUGCCAAGAAAUAAAACGAAGACUUAUUGGAUGUUUGGUCUUAUUAGCAUAGCCAGUUGGAAGUGUACUGUUUCAUGGGGCUUAUUAUCACCUAUCAAAACUUUAGGUUUGUUUGGAAUUAUAGUAAUUAUAGUAAUUUAAAGUGUUUUUUUUAGAAAUAUAUUAAAAUGAUAUUUUUUUAUUUUUUUAAAUUGUUUUUUAAAAUCAAAACAUCAAAACAAUUUAAAAUAAAAAAAGUAAUUUUUAACAAAAAUAAAAUUAAAAUUUAAAAAAAUACGAUUUCAACCACGUUUUCAAAAACUAUUUUUUUCUCUUGAUUUCUACCCCAAGAAAUCAAGAACGCUAAUUUCAUUAAACCAGAUUCCAAAGGCCAUAUUUAGAUAAAUUAGAAGAAAGGCCUAUAAACUAGCCUAACAGAUCAUACCCAGAGAAGCAAAAGCCAGAAACAAUCUAGCUCAAAUUUUUUUAUUAAAUAGACUUGUUAACAUUUUUUUAUUUAUUAGCAUAAAUAAUUUUAAAUUUAUUUAAUUAAAUAUAUAUAAGACAAGUUUAAAAAAACUAAACACACUGAUUUUUGGCUACCAACCUAGGUUUUGAUAUUAAAACGUGUUUGAGAAUGUAGUAAUAAUUAUAUUUCAAAAUAAUUUUCAUUCCAAGACACAUUAAAUUAAUAUUUUAUUAUUUUUUAAAAAUUAUUUUUGAUAUCAACACAUCAAAAUAAUCAAAAAAUAUAAAAAACAUAUUCAUUUAAAACAAAAAAAAAAAAAUUUUAAAUUUUUUAAAAAACACUUUCCAAAACAUAAAUCACUAACACACCUUAAGUGGCUUGACCCAUAACCUGGGCGCAAAUGCCAUCAUUUGAGCAUAAAAAGGUUUCAACCCCAUGGUGCCUUUUCCUUAUUAUAAAUAUAAAAUAAAAUAAAAUUUAAGUCAAGGAGGUCCAGUCUUAAAUGCUCCAAACAUUAUCCAUGUCUCAAGCUUAUGUGAUCCAAGAAUUCAUAUUUAUUAUAAAAUUAUAAUUUUAUAUGAGUUUUUAUCUUAUGAUUCAAGAAGUUUAUAUUGUAUAUUCAAGAAUUUUAAGUUUAUAGUCAAUUUUAUAAUUCAUAAAAAUAUUUGAUCCCUGAAUUAGUUUUCUAAUUGUUUUGCAUAAAUUCUUAGAAAAAAAAUAUUUUAACAAUAGUUUUCGUGCUAAAAAUGCUAUUCUAUUCGACUUUUAAUUCAAAUUGUAUUUAUAUAGUUAAUUUUUUUUCUCUUUAAUAAAUCCAUUAUUGGAUUUGAAAUUUAUAACUUAUUUUAUAAUUCAAAUUAGAGAUUUGGUUUAUUUAUUAAGUUUUUUUAUUUUUGUAAAAUUGAUUGAAAAAAAAUAGAUCGGGUCACGUCGGUUUAACUCGAAUCAGCAAAAUAAAAGACAUAAGUGAAUAAUAAAUUUCAAUAUUCAAAGUUCAAGACCGGUGGAGCAAAAUCCAACUCUGACCUAGGCUUGUUUGGGAUUGUGGUAGUAGUUGCGGUUCAAAGUGUUUUUCGCUUAGAAAUGCAUCAAAAUAAUAUUUUUUUUAAUUUUUUAAAAAUUAUCUUUGAUAUCAGCAUAUCAAAACAAUCUAAAAUUAUAAAAAAUAAUAAUAAAAAUAAAAUAAAAUUUUUAAAAAAUAUAAUUUACACGGAGUUACCACACACUUGUCCAAUCAACACACAUUCAAUCUCGUUACUUUUUAUACACCUCUUAAUUUUCAAUAGAGCCUUAACCAUUCCUUUAUGCAAGUGCACGCAUUGCCAAACAAUCCUUUAGGAAAAUGAGUUGCCCUCCGACGACUUUCCAUAACUGGCCAGGAUUAAUUUGGACUCUUCGCUGGCGAUAACAGCGAUGGGAAUGAAGACACUUCUCUGCAUCCUUGACCAUUUCAAUUCCGAGAACUCCCCCACCAUCCCAUAAAAAAGUAGUCCUUCUUCUUUGAAGACUUUUCCCAAUUAGUCCUUAUAUUGUUUUUAGGUUUUUUUAAUAUAUUAAUAUAAAAAUAUAAAAAAAUAUUAUUUUAAUAUAUUUUUAAUUAAAUAACAACAUUAAAAAAAUAUAUUUUGCUUUCCAUUACCAAUCACACUAAAAUAAUGUUGUGUCCUUUGAGCCAUUUGGUGAGGAAUGGUGAUGGUGGUUUUUUGUUUUUUUUGUUUAUCCUAUUUGUCUGUCUAAAGAUAAGUUGUGGGGUUGCCAUGUUAAAUUUCUAUUUUUAAUUGAAUAAUGUUGUUUGAAAGAAAAACUUAGAUAAAAAAAAAAAAAAAAUCCUUCGAGUUGGUACUAUAUUUUAUAAUAAUUUAUUUUUUAAAGUGUUUUGUAUUUGAAAAUAUAUCAAAAUAAUAUAUUUUUUGUUUUUUAAAAAUUAUUUUUGACAUCAGCAUGUCAAAAUAAUUUUAAAACAUCAAAAAAAUAUUAAUUUGAAAUAAAAAAAAAAUAAAAAAAAUUUAAAUUUUUUUAAAAAUACUAUUAAAACACAAAAAUAAAUAUAUCUUAACAAAUCACUAAUUAAUUUGUCAAAUUACAUGAGUACCAAUUAAUCUAUCGAAUUAUUUAAAUUUGAACGGAUCAAUGUUUCACUUAGAUGAAAAGCAAACUCGGUUUGAAUCACAUUUCAAAUCAGUAACGUCACCAGGUUGACCCAGCUAGCUGGUUAUUGCAGGUUGUGUUUUUGUACAUAUUAAGGGGCAGGGAAAUGUAUAAUGAAAUGUGCAUGACAACUGGGUUGAUAAUUGAUAAUUUGAACAGUCCAUUUUUCAUUGCAUGUGGGAGAGAAGCAAUGAAGAGAAGAGGACAAGAGGCCAAGAAAUAAAACGAAGACUUAUUGGAUGUUUGGGGCAUAUUAAAAUUUCAUGCUGUGAUUUUAAAAUGUUUUUUAUUUAAAAAUAUAUUAAAAUGAUAUUAUUUUAUUUUUUAAAAAUUAUUUUUGAGAUUAAAACAUUAAAACCAUCUGAAAACAUAAAAAAAUUAACAAAAAAAAUUGAAAUUUAAAGGAACUCUAUUUCAACCGCGUUCCCAAACACUCUCUUCAUGUUUUUUCAAUCACAAAGUUACCAUAAAAAUAAAUGUGUAUUUGGUAUUAUAGUAUAAGAUAUUUUUUCGCUUGAAAAUAUAUAAAAAUAAUUUUUUUUUAUUUUUAACAUCAACGUAAUAAAAUCAUUGAAAAAUAUUUAAAACUCAUCAAUUUAAUGUUAUUUUGAAUCAAACACAUUUUUAAAAACAUACUUAAAUACAUUUUCAAACCCAAAAAUAAAUGAUAUCUUUAUAAUUAUAGUUCAGAAAACAAUCUCCUACAUCUAAGCACAAAAGGUUUCGAAGUUAAAAGUAAUCUUAGUUUUAAUUAUAGUUCAGAAAACAAUCUCCUACAUCUAAGCAUGUAUUGUCUUAACUAUAGAUGUAGUAAGAUGAUUUGAUUUAGUAAAUAUGUAAUUUAAAAUUCGAUUCGAGUUAAGUUUUAAUUUAUACUUAGUUUUGGUUAAGUUUUAAUUUAUAUUAAUUUUGAUAUUAAUAUGGUUAAUCCCAAAUAAUCUUCCUACAAUCCAAUUUACUCUUGUUAAAACUUAACCAAAUCAAAACUAGGAAAUAUCUUUCCUUCUAAAAAAAAAAAAAAGGUUUUGAAAAUCCAGAUUGAUCCUCUAACUCAUAAAUUAACCAAGUGACUUGAGCUCUUUUCGAGAUUUUAAGAUUAGAUCCCAGGCCAGUUCUGACUACUAUAAUCUCAAGUGACUGGCCCAAUUCAAAAUCAUGUUUUUGACGUUUCUCGUUGGAUCAAAGUGGGCUACCCUUUGUUCCUGAAUGAUGAAAGCAAUUAGUAAAAGCUUCUGAGCCAAGAAACAUCCAACUAGCUUGAGCACAUCUGGAAGAUUUAGUCUCUGUAUUAUUUCACUUCUCUGAAUAAUUUUUCAGGUUCCUUUUGCUGUUAUAUAAAAAUUGCUGUUUCUCAUGAGUCAAUAUCCAUUCUAUGAAAUUCUAGCGUUAGAGAGAGGUAAAAGUUUACACUUUGUAUACCAUGAAGUAUAACGCUAAGAGAUAAACAUCUCCAUGCCGGAUUUGUUUGAUUUAAGAGCAGUGAUGACCCUUGAAAGAUUGCUCUAUAAAACAAUGUCCGGUCAUCUUUACAACUUAUUUUCACAAUCCUUCGCCGGCCCGCUGAAGAACUCUUUGAAGCUCAUCUGCCAUCCCUUGUAAGAGAACUGGUUUUCGGAUCAUUCCAUUCAUUCCCAUCUGCAGGCA
Molecule: long non-coding RNA, 39778 nt
Filed under: Populus tremula
Lineage: Eukaryota; Viridiplantae; Streptophyta; Magnoliopsida; Malpighiales; Salicaceae
Description: long non-coding RNA (PTRE_LNC003335)
Source: RNAcentral